GGUGGUUUUGGUGGUCUCCAGGUAUUUCGGGGGGGGUGUCCCCGCAUUUUGGGGGUCUCCAGGUGUUUUUGGGGGUAUCCCCAUAUUUUGGGGGUCUCCAGGUGUUUUUGGGUGUACCCAGGUAUUUCGGGGGUGCCCAGGUGUUUUGGGUGUACCCAGGUAUUUCGGGGGGGGUAUCCCCAGGUAUUUCGGGGGUGCCCAGGUGUUUUUGGGUGUACCCAGG
Lepidothrix coronata (blue-crowned manakin) is the source of this 223-nucleotide long non-coding RNA. RefSeq lists it as uncharacterized. NCBI's taxonomy places the organism in Eukaryota, Metazoa, Chordata, Aves, Passeriformes, Pipridae. The transcript is spliced from 3 exons. The record is from RefSeq and is a predicted model, not a curated record.